Long non-coding RNA from Pyrus x bretschneideri (Chinese white pear), 700 nucleotides. RefSeq lists it as uncharacterized. NCBI's taxonomy places the organism in Eukaryota, Viridiplantae, Streptophyta, Magnoliopsida, Rosales, Rosaceae. The record is from RefSeq and is a predicted model, not a curated record. The transcript has 2 exons.
GAAAGGAGAGAAGGGUAUAGGGGAAAAGGGGGGAAAGAACUAUUUCUUCUUCUUCCUCCUUCACUCACGGGAUCCCUUACAACCUAUUUUCAUCAUAAUUUCCUCAUACGAUAACGAAAUCACAUGAGGUCGGAAGCUAUAGUUUCGUAGCGAAGCCGUGUUCAAUCUUAACAUACCCACCCCUUGAAAACCAACCAUUGUAUAAAGAAAACGAGGUCCAAACAUAUUGACGUGUUCCGGCGACUUUUCUCUGAUUUCGGGCAAUGCCGAUGGAAUCUGGCCUCGACCCAAGUGAAAAUAAUGAUUCUCCCUUGUGGGCUCUCCUCUAGCGAGUUGAAUCGGAACCGGGUAGUCAUGAUCGGUUGCAUAUAUAGGGAAGAACAUUGAAAUCCUAACCUCAAUUCGGUUCUCUUUAGAAAUUGAAGGGUUGGGUUUGUUUUAUAACUAUUAAUGUUAUUCCAUAAUCAAGGCCAGAUACAUUCGAACAUUUUGUAUGCCACAUUUGUCCUACCCAUGAAGAACAUUGCUGAAUUUGUAUGUGUUGUAGCCUAGAUUUGUGUAGAUAAUUAGAGUUCUAAAACUGCUGAGUGGUUCUAUAUUUUUCCAUGGCAUUGUUAGAUGCUGAUGCUAAAUACUUGAUUGGACAAUGCUAUUACUAGAGUAGUAUAUGAAUCAUAUAAGCACUACACCUUCAUAUGAA